This 245-nucleotide ribosomal RNA is filed under the name uncultured bacterium. RNAcentral's name for it is "partial 16S ribosomal RNA". It matches the Rfam family "Bacterial small subunit ribosomal RNA", at positions 524 to 768 of the family's 1533-position model. The record is from RNAcentral.
UACGGGGGGAACGAGCGUUGUUCGGAUUUACUGGGCGUAAAGGGCACGCAGGUGGGAAAGCAAGUCGAGUGUGAAAUCCCGAGGCUUAACUUCGGGCCUGCACCUGAUACUGCUUUUCUUGAGUACGAGAGAGGAUGGCGGAAUUCUUGGUGUAGCGGUGAAAUGCGUAGAUAUCAAGAAGAACACCGGUGGCGAAGGCGGCCAUCUGGCUCGAUACUGACGCUCAUGUGCGAAGGCCGGGGGAG